ACACGUAUGAAAGACAAGCUGAAAGACUUUUCUCAAUGAUGUAAGUGGUGGUGCAUGGUCGUUCGUAGUUCGUGGAUUGAUUUGUCUGGUCUAUUCCGAUAACGAGCGAGACCCCGGCGUUCCUAAUAGGGGCGAUAGCCCGGCUUGCCGCCUAAGAGGCUUGCUAGCUGUCGCUUAAGAUUUACUUCUUAGACGUAUCAGAGCCGAUAAGGUUCUUGAAAUGGGUUAAUAACAGGUCAGUCAUGCCCUUAGAUGUUCUGGGCCGCACGCGCGUUACAAUGGCACGAAUAAAAAGUGCCUACAAAAGGGCGUAUCCGGGGCCUAACGGUCUCGGUAACCCCUAGUCCCUGCCUUGACUGGGACAGACUCUUGCAAUUAUUGGUCUCAAACGAGGAAUUUUUAGUAGUCGCAGGUCAUUAGCCUGCGACGA
RNAcentral lists this ribosomal RNA (430 nucleotides) under Diderma microsporum. RNAcentral describes it as "SSU rRNA". It matches the Rfam family "Eukaryotic small subunit ribosomal RNA", at positions 1230 to 1644 of the family's 1831-position model. The record is from RNAcentral. Lineage: Eukaryota; Evosea; Eumycetozoa; Physariida; Didymiaceae.